AAUAAACCCCAAAACCAUAAUGUUUGUGUGUGGUCGAAUCGUAUUCAACCGAGGUCCCCGAAUCUCAGUACGCAACACAUGUCGAACUCUGCCUCUCGCUCGCCGUAAUCCUGCGACGUUGAUUCUCUCACCCAUUUAGUUACCCUGCACUUUUUCGCUUAGGCUUUCGCUUCCCCACCUCCCAACAAACCGACCGAAUCUAUUGAAUAUUUGACCCAAAGAUCCCUGCUUUUCUAUCCCAUUUUUCCAGACCAGCAAAAUAAAUCUCCAGUUUCCGGUUUCUCGGUGACGCCAAGAGCGGUUUUCCGGCCGACCCAGAGGGAGAAGAGCCUCUGCUUCCAUACGUAGGCAGCCCAAGAGGUGAAAAAAAUUGGACGUUGACCCAAGUUCCUUGCAACCCUCCCCACAAUACCAUUUCUCCCAACCAACCAAGACGGUUUCCGGUUUCCCGGCGGCACCAGAAGCGGUUUUGCUGGCGGAACCAGAUGGAGAAAGAGCCAUUACUCCCAUACGUAGGCAGCCCUAGAAGAAAGCUGUCACCUUUACCGACUCUCUGCCCACUUCCAGAAGAGGAUGAAGUCACUGUUCCUUUAACCCCUUCGGAAUUCAAAGACCGUAUAAUCUUUGGCCCUGCGACUGCUUCGACGCAGGAUUCUUCUCCUCUUGUCGAUGCAUUGACUCUGCCUAUCAAUUCUCCAAGAACUUCAAGACCCCCUUCGUCGUCUUCUCUGUUGGACUCCGUAGCCACAAUCUCACAGGACCCACAAACCCAACAGCCACCCCUGCAAUCAUGGCUCAUCGACCCCAAUUGCUCAUGGACCAAAACCAACCUCCACCGCUCCAAAACAGCUCCUGCCAUGGCCGUGAUCAACGAGGUGGCGAACCGGCGCUCUGUUCCCAGACCCCAAUUCGGUUCACAGUCGAUUGUAAGACAAGCUGUUGUACUUCUUGUUAUAUAUCUUGCAUUGGGUGUGACUAUAUAUUGGUUUAACCGUGAUCAUUUCGCUGCGUCGGAGACGCACCCUGUGGUUGAUGCAUUAUACUUUUGUAUUGUGACAAUGUGCACAAUUGGGUAUGGAGAUAUUACGCCUACUACUACUGCAACCAAGUUGUUUUCGAUAAUGUUUGUGUUGGUGGGGUUUGGAUUCAUUGAUAUUUUGCUUAGUGGGAUGGUUAGUUAUGUGCUUGACUUGCAAGAGACUUAUUUGUUGAGGAGCCUUAAGGAUGUGGGUGAGAAAAAGGAGUCCUACAUAUUUGAUGUUAAGAAGGGGAGGAUGAGGAUUAGGAUGAAGGUGGGAUUGGCGUUGGGAGUUGUGGUUCUUUGUAUUGGGAUCGGUGUGGGUGUGAUGCAUUUCGUGGAAAAGCUUGGAUGGUUGGAUUCGUUUUAUCUUUCGGUUAUGUCAGUUACCACAGUAGGGUAUGGUGACCGGGCUUUCCAGUCUUUGCCAGGACGUAUCUUUGCUUCAAUUUGGUUGCUUGUGUCGACACUUGCAGUUGCUCGAGCAUUUCUGUUUUUGGCUGAGGCUAGGGUGGAUAAGCGGCAUAGGAGGAUGGCGAAGUGGGUUCUUGGUCAGGAUAUGACUGUUUCUGAGUUUCUUGCUGCUGACAUUGACAAUAAUGGUUUUGUGAGUAAGUCGGAAUAUGUCAUAUACAAACUCAAGGAGAUGGGAAAGGUAUCAGAGAAAGAUAUUAUGCAGAUCUGCACCCAAUUCGAUAGGCUAGACACUGGGAACUGCGGAAAGAUAAGCCUUGCUGAUCUUAUGAGUCGACCUUGAUAUCCAAGUACCUUUUCGUUACUUUUCAUCUUGAUAGAGCAACGCAAGCAUAUACCUUCUCUCUUUAAACAUGAAGUAUGAUAAGCCAGAUAUUUCACGGAAGUCACAAAUGAAGCAUGAACUUCGCUGCCAUAUCGCAGGUCAUGAGUUGUAGUGUCAAUGAAUUGGGUUUGAAACGAAUGAAUCAAAGGAGUAUUGACGGACAUAAGCAAGGGGAUGACUGGAUGAGUGCAUAAAGAGAAAACAAGAGCGAAAAUUACUAUCCGGCACUCAUGACUCAAAAUAGCCGUUAUCCUGCCGCCCCGACAGCAUGAUUUUUCCGGCUGAUAACUUGGUACCAGCCGGUGCAUUGUCACCAACACAUAACAAAAGUUUGCCCUAAAUCUUUAGAAACAAAAGUAAAAAGUUAAAUGUGGAAAGGUUAUGUUGAAAAAUGCCAACAUGUGUGUUUGAAUGUUGACGGCACACUCUCAUUGAAAGUUUUGCUGCCCACGUUUCAACACAAGUACGUAUGUUCCAUACUUAUAUUCUUUUUCUUGGAAAGCAUGAAAGGCAAUCAUAAGAAACCCUAGAGUCUUGCAUUUU
This is an RNA transcript of Pyrus x bretschneideri (Chinese white pear), 2360 nucleotides long. It is a transcript of the gene named two-pore potassium channel 3-like, with no coding region annotated. Lineage: Eukaryota; Viridiplantae; Streptophyta; Magnoliopsida; Rosales; Rosaceae. The record is from RefSeq and is a predicted model, not a curated record. The transcript is spliced from 3 exons.